RNAcentral lists this ribosomal RNA (1280 nucleotides) under Elateroidea sp. AH-2016. RNAcentral describes it as "16S ribosomal RNA". The stretch from base 593 to 1280 matches the Rfam family "Archaeal large subunit ribosomal RNA", at positions 1423 to 2803 of the family's 2987-position model. The record is from RNAcentral. Lineage: Eukaryota; Metazoa; Arthropoda; Insecta; Coleoptera.
UUUACUUAAAAUAUUAUUAAUUUUUUUUUAUGAAAUUAUUCUUUUUUUAAGUAUUAAAGUAUAAUAAUUUUUUGUUAAUUAUAGUUAAUUAGUAAGGUGACUGAAUUUUGAAAUAUUUUUUAUGUUUAAAAAAGAAAAAUUAAUUUUUUGUACCUUGUGUAUCAGGGUUGAUUAAAUUUAAGUUAAAUAUUUAAUUUUCUCGAAUUGAAAAGAGCUAAUUUAUUAUUUAUUUAGUUGUUUUAUAAACUUUUUUAAUAGUUUUUUAGUAAUGAAAUGUUAUUCGUUUUUCGUUAUAUCUGGUUUUUUAAGAAAAGAAUUGAAUUCUAUUAUUUUUUUUUAAAAGUUAUUUUUUAAUUUUUAGGUUUAAAUAUUAAAUAUUUAAUGGGAUGAGCUUUUAAAUAAAAUUUUAAAAAUUUUUUAUUUUUAAAUUAUUAGUAUAAUUAUAAUUGUUAAUCUUUAUUAUAACUUUAUAGUUAAUUUUUUUUAGUUUUUAUUUUUAUUUAUUUUAGAUUUUAUAUUAAAAUUAAUUUUUUAAUUUUUAUUGAAUUUUAAUAAUGAUUAAAUUAGUAAAUUUGAAUUGUUUAAUUGAUUUUAUUUGUUAGGUUAAAAAAAGGAAUUCGGCAAAAUUGUUUUUCGCCUGUUUAUUAAAAACAUGUCUUUUUGAAUAUAAUUUAAGGUUUAAUCUGCUCAAUGAGGAUUUAAAUUGCCGCGGUAUUUUGACCGUGCAAAGGUAGCAUAAUAAUUAGUUUUUUUAUUGAAAGCUGGAAUGAAUGAUUGGACGAGAAAACUACUGUCUCUUUUUAAUUUAUUUUUUAAUUUAACUUUUAAGUAAAAAGGCUUAAAUUUUUUUUAAAGACGAGAAGACCCUAUAGAGUUUAAUAUUAAUUUAUUUUAAGUUUUUUGGUAUUUUAUAUUCUUAAUUUUUUUUAUUAUUUGGUUGGGGUGACCAGAAGAAUGACUAAACUCUUCUAUUUUUUAAUCAUUGAUUUUUGAAUUUUAAAUCUAAUUUUUUUAAAUUUAAGAAAAAUUACCUUAGGGAUAACAGCGUAAUUUCUUUUUAGAGUUCUUAUUGAAAUUGAAGUUUGCGACCUCGAUGUUGGAUUAAAAUUUAUUUUUGGUGUAGAAGCUGAAAUAUUAAGUCUGUUCGACUUUUAAAAUUUUACAUGAUCUGAGUUUAAACCGGUGUGAGCCAGGUUGGUUUCUAUCUUGACUUAUUUACAAUAUUUUAGUACGAAAGGACCAAUUAUUGAAUAUAUUUAUUUUUAUUUUUGAAUAUUAUU